Molecule: ribosomal RNA, 478 nt
Filed under: uncultured bacterium
Lineage: Bacteria
Description: partial 16S ribosomal RNA
Rfam family: Bacterial small subunit ribosomal RNA
Source: RNAcentral
GAUGAACGCUGGCGGCGUGCUUAACACAUGCAAGUCGAACGAGAAAUGUAGACGGAAACCUUCGGGCGGAAGCCUUCAUUUCGAGUGGCGGACGGGUGAGUAACGCGUGGGUAACCUGCCUCAUACAGGGGGAUAACAGCUGGAAACGACUGUUAAUACCGCAUAAGACCACAGCAUCGCAUGAUGCGGGGGUAAAAACUCCGGUGGUAUGAGAUGGACCCGCGUUCGAUUAGCCAGUUGGCGGGGUAACGGCCCACCAAAGCGACGAUCGAUAGCCGAUCUGAGAGGAUGACCGGCCACAUUGGGACUGAGACACGGCCCAAACUCCUACGGGAGGCAGCAGUGGGGAAUAUUGCACAAUGGGGGAAACCCUGAUGCAGCGACGCCGCGUGAGUGAAGAAGUACUUCGGUAUGUAAAGCUCUAUCAGCAGGGAAGAAAAUGACGGUACCUGAGUAAGAAGCCCCGGCUAACUACGUG